CACGCUCUCCGUGAGCAUAAUCUUCGUUCUCUCUCUCUCUCUCUCUCUCCCUCUCUUUGUUGUUGAAACAAGUUGCGGUACAGACUGCGACGGUGUGUUCGAAAAACAAACUAACGUUAUCUCGGCGCAGCGAUGUUAACUUUUCAACGAAAGCACCGAACAGACCAGGAGCCAGUGAAGAAAUAAAGAGGGAUUGACAACGAAAGAGAGGAUGGAGGGAUAGGGUUAGUCUGUAUCAACUGUGCACCCUUAUCAAUUGGAAAAUUGGUGUGUGCAGUGGGAGCGGAAGAGGAGGGGAUUCGACUACGUUCAACUCGAUUUGGUGGGGGAAGAACGAUUAGGUUUACGCGCCUGCUAGGGGCGUACAUAUCAAAGGGUCGACGUAGGGGCUACUAUAUACAGGGAAUAUUAGUUCAGAUACAAUUUUCGUUCUUGAAUUUCGUAGCGGCCAAACCUGGUAGCGAAAGGGAAGGGAUGUUCGGUACAAAAAGCAGGGGCGUAUCCAAGGAAUAGGAUGGGAGGAUCUUUGUGUGCACGUUGUGAGAGAAACCGAAAGAACCAGCAAGUGAAUCAGCGAGAAAGAGUACGGAGAGGAACGAACGUCAGUAAGGAACGGAAGAAGAGCGACUCAGACGUCUAGGGCGCAUGCGUCACUCAUCGUGGGCGUCGGGAAUGUGUUGACACAAGAACUCGAGAGAACUCCGUAGCCCUAAUGCCAUGACGCGACGGCCCGUGUUAUCGUCGAUACGGUUCCCAUACUGCGGGUCCGCCCCGUCCUCGCAAAAUCUGGGUCUUUCAUCCUGACGAAAUCGGGUCUCUGUCGGUGUCAACUCUCUACGGGGAUUGAUGAUUCAGAAAUUACUGUGCAAAUGAUAAACAGAACAAAUAGAAAUGAGUUAGACAUGAAUUGGAGACGUUUUCUAAUCUUCACCUGUGAAUUGUUAUAUACAUAUAUCAUUCGAACAUACAUAUAUAUCUUAUUCGAGUUAAUAUCUGUCUUGACAUAUUCAAUUAUUCACUUGUAAUUUCCUGUGGAACAUUAUUGAAGAAGUAUUCACUGUGGAAUUCUUAUAAAUUUUCAUUGAAGCUUUUUUUCUCUCGCUUCUAGAAACCUAUUUUUCAGGAAACUUUUAUCCGAUGUUUAAAAGCUUGUAUAAGUAUAGAGUUAGCCGCGGAGCUACAGGGAAUGAUGUUCUCCACGCAGUAAAUUUAUAUUGGACUAUAAUCAAAUAAGCUGGCCGCAGAAGAUAUCCAUAUGUCUAAAUUAUCAUCGGUUUCACGAUGCUUUAAAUAUACCGCGCGACAAUGUUCGAUAGGAUAUGACGUAUGAAAUAAUUUUUAGGUUAACAUGCGAUUAUUUAUUUUAGUACCAUAGUUUUGUUUAUUAUACAAAAAUAUAUUAUUUAACAUUGAAAUUAAUAAAAUUGUAAUUGCA
This is a long non-coding RNA of Bombus pascuorum, 1435 nucleotides long. RefSeq lists it as uncharacterized. The record is from RefSeq and is a predicted model, not a curated record. The transcript is spliced from 2 exons. Lineage: Eukaryota; Metazoa; Arthropoda; Insecta; Hymenoptera; Apidae.